UAUCCGUAGGUGAACCUGCGGAAGGAUCAUUAUUGUAUAACCGAGGUGCGAGGGCUGUCGCUGACCCGAAAGGUCGUGCACGCCCGAGUGCCCUCACACACAUCCAUCUCACCCCUAUGUGCACCACCGCGUGGGUCCCCCUUUGGCUUGUUCGGAGGGGGGCUUACGUUUUCACACAAACUUUGUAUGUAGUGUAGAAUGUAUUUUUUGUUUUUGCGAUCACGCAAUCAAUACAACUUUCAACAACGGAUCUCUUGGCUCUC
Molecule: unclassified non-coding RNA, 263 nt
Filed under: plant metagenome
Description: partial contains small subunit ribosomal RNA, internal transcribed spacer 1, and 5.8S ribosomal RNA
Source: RNAcentral